Ixodes scapularis (black-legged tick) is the source of this 82-nucleotide non-coding RNA. Lineage: Eukaryota; Metazoa; Arthropoda; Arachnida; Ixodida; Ixodidae. The record is from Rfam.
GCGGUCGUUGCCUAGUGAUUAAGGCGACGGACUAUAAAUCUAUUGGGGUCUCCCCGCACAGGUUCGAAUCUUGUCGACUACG